AUUCAGUUUGGGGGCGUCGGUUCGUNCAAANUCGGAAACCAACCAGGGCUUUCCCCAAAACGGGGGCCGUCCGGGUUGCAAANAAGGCCGAUGCACCCNACGCAAUUUGUUUUNUCGUCNNAAGGANCCCGCAGCCGGNUGGGUAGUGCAAGCNCNACGACCUUAGGGGCGGAANAUGGCAGGUGGCCNCUGGCGUGUUUCGUGCGCGUCGGCGGUUGUUAACCGUUCCGCCAGUGGUCCGUCANCCGGCCGAGGUGUCGNUAGGCCCNUACGGGCCUCAACGCCUCCUCCUUUANAGACGCGGGUCAGAGCGUUGCAGGCGGAANCCGUCGUCCCGUUCGCACCCCUCAGGGGUGGUCGGGCGAACGGAGGCCNCCGUUGGUGAUGCCGGACCCGUUGGAGGAUNGAGGCUCGCGGCGAGUAGGUCGGUCACCCACCCGACCCGGUCUUNAAACACGGACCAAGGAGUNUAACAUGUGCGCGAGUCAAUGGGUNUUGAACAGGCCCAUGGGCGCAAUGAAAGCAAAGGGCGGCCUCAGCGCCGUCCGAGUUGGGAUCCCCCUCCCUCGUGGUGGGGGNGCACCAACGACCCGUCCUAUUCGGCUNGCCGAUUGGGCGGAGUUUGAGCGUACACGUUGGGACCCGAAAGAUGGUGAANUAUGCCCGGACAGGACGAGGCCAGAGGAAACUCUGGUGGAGGUCCGCAGCGGUUNUGACGUGCAAAU
RNAcentral lists this ribosomal RNA (725 nucleotides) under Novalena intermedia. RNAcentral describes it as "partial 28S large subunit ribosomal RNA". The stretch from base 460 to 725 matches the Rfam family "Eukaryotic large subunit ribosomal RNA", at positions 665 to 898 of the family's 3401-position model. Lineage: Eukaryota; Metazoa; Arthropoda; Arachnida; Araneae; Agelenidae. The record is from RNAcentral.